GGGGAAUUUUCCGCAAUGGGCGAAAGCCUGACGGAGCAAUACCGCGUGAGGGAGGAAGGCUCUUGGGUUGUAAACCUCUUUUCUCAGGGAAUAAGAACUGAAGGUACCUGAGGAAUCAGCAUCGGCUAACUCCGUGCCAGCAGCCGCGGUAAUANCGGAGGAUGCAAGCGUUAUCCGGAAUGAUUGGGCGUAAAGCGUCCGCAGGUGGUUUAUCAAGUCUGCUGUCAAAGAGUUUGGCUCAACCAAAUAAAGGCAGUGGAAACUGACAGACUGGAGUGCGGUAAGGGCAGAGGGAAUUCCUGGUGUAGCGGUGAAAUGCGUAGAGAUCAGGAAGAACACCGGUGGCGAAAGCGCUCUGCUGGGCCGUAACUGACACUGAGGGACGAAAGCUAGGGGAGCGAAUGGGAUUAGAUACCCCAGUAGUC
This 425-nucleotide ribosomal RNA is filed under the name uncultured cyanobacterium. Its description in RNAcentral is "bacterial SSU rRNA". It matches the Rfam family "Bacterial small subunit ribosomal RNA", at positions 356 to 795 of the family's 1533-position model. The record is from RNAcentral. Lineage: Bacteria; Bacillati; Cyanobacteriota.